Molecule: ribosomal RNA, 489 nt
Filed under: uncultured bacterium
Lineage: Bacteria
Description: partial 16S ribosomal RNA
Rfam family: Bacterial small subunit ribosomal RNA
Source: RNAcentral
AUUGAACGCUGGCGGCAGGCCUAACACAUGCAAGUCGAACGGUAACAGGAAGAAGCUUGCUUCUUUGCUGACGAGUGGCGGACGGGUGAGUAAUGUCUGGGAAACUGCCUGAUGGCGGGGGAUAACUACUGGAAACGGUAGCUAAUACCGCAUAACGUCGCAAGACCAAAAAGGGGGACCUUCGGGCCUCUUGCCAUCGGAUGUGCCCAGAUGGGAUUAGCUCGUAGGUGGGGUAACGGCUCACCUAGGCGACGAUCCCUAGCUGGUCUGAGAGGAUGACCAGCCACACUGGAACUGAGACACGGUCCAGACUCCUACGGGAGGCAGCAGUGGGAAUAUUGCACAAUGGGCGCAAGCCUGAUGCAGCCAUGCCGCGUGUAUGAAGAAGGCCUUCGGGUUGUAAAGUACUUUCAGCGGGGAGGAAGGGAGUAAAGUUAAUACCUUUGCUCAUUGACGUUACCCGCAGAAGAAGCACCGGCUAACUCCGUG